ACUAGCAAUGGUUUGAUGGCGACCGGCAAACGGGUGCGGAACACGUACACAACCUCCCGAUAAGUGGGGAAUAGCCCAGAGAAAUUUGGAUUAAUACCCCGUAACAUUGCGAUGUGGCAUCACAUUGCAAUUAUAGCUUCGGCGCUUAUUGAUGGGUGUGCGUAUGAUUAGAUAGUUGGCGAGGUAACGGCUCACCAAGUCUACGAUCAUUAGCUGAUGUGAGAGCAUGAUCAGCCACACGGGCACUGAGACACGGGCCCGACUCCUACGGGAGGCAGCAGUAAGGAAUAUUGGUCAAUGGACGAAAGUCUGAACCAGCUAUGCCGCGUGAAGGAUUAAGGUCCUCUGGAUUGUAAACUUCUUUUAUAUGGGACGAAAAAAGGUCUUUCUAGAUCACUUGACGGUACCAUAUGAAUAAGCACCGGCUAACUCCGUGCCAGCAGCCGCGGUAAUACGGAGGGUGCAAGCGUUAUCCGGAUUCACUGGGUUUAAAGGGUGCGU
RNAcentral lists this ribosomal RNA (501 nucleotides) under uncultured Bacteroidota bacterium. Its description in RNAcentral is "bacterial SSU rRNA". It matches the Rfam family "Bacterial small subunit ribosomal RNA", at positions 73 to 572 of the family's 1533-position model. Lineage: Bacteria; Pseudomonadati; Bacteroidota. The record is from RNAcentral.